Molecule: ribosomal RNA, 1254 nt
Filed under: Oxyrrhis marina
Lineage: Eukaryota; Dinophyceae; Oxyrrhinales; Oxyrrhinaceae
Description: eukaryotic LSU rRNA
Rfam family: Eukaryotic large subunit ribosomal RNA
Source: RNAcentral
CCGGCGAAGUACGUAUGAAGGAAACUGAUUGUGUGUCAGUGAUGUGCUGGUGCGGCAGUAGCAUGCGGAAGACGUGUGCGUCAUGUGCAAGUGAAAUCUUGUGCCAAGCGGGUGACAGUCCCAUGCUGGUGCACACGAUCUCGAGCAGUGCGCUGCACACGGUGUAUGCACUUUGUAAGUGGUGCAUCGCUUAGGUGGUAACCAUCACCUACUACUUAAUAUUGAAUUGAUAUCAAUAGCGAACAAGUACCAUGAGGGAAAGAUGAAAAGANCUUUGAAAAGAGGGUGAAAAUCACAUGAAGUCGGUGUACUCUAUUGAUUGUGUUUGGUAUGUGCAAUCGCUUGUAGGCGAGGGAAACAUAGCUGCCCAAAGCUACGGUUUACCGUCACCUUCGCAUGCCUUUGCGCUCUCCUUAACCUGCAGCCUAUGCUUGUUUCGGCGUGUAGCAGAGCAUGUCCCCAUGGAUGCGCUCUGGCACAGCUGAAAUGCGAGGAGCGGCAGGAUCUACACCUCACGGUGCCAGCAGUGCUACCGAACACAACUGCCCGUCUUGAAACACGGACCGAGGAGUCUAGCAAUGCAGCGAGCACUAUGCAGAGUAUAGCAACGUGCGCAAUGAAAGUGAAAACUGCCAAUACGUGCGGCAGUGGCCGACAAUGUCGCUUCGGUGAUGUCGUUUGAGCUGGAGUGGAAGUGCUAGGACCCGAAAGAUGGUGAACUAUGCCUGGGUAGGGAGAAAACAGGGGAAAUUCUGUUGGAAGCUCGUAGCGAUACUGACGUGCAAAUCGUUUGUCAAACCUGGGUAUAGGGGCGAAAGACUAAUCGAACCAUCUAGUAGCUGGUUCCCUUCGAAGUUUCCCUCAGGAUAGCCGAGGAUUUCCAGUUUUGCUAGGUAAAGCGAAUGAUUAGAGGUAUUGGGAUCGCAUGAAUCUCGACCUAUUCUCAAACUUUAAAUGGGCAAGACACAAUUCUGCAUUGCGAGUAUUGUGGCGAAAUGAGAUCUUCGUGUGGGCCAUUUUUGGUAAGCAGAACUGGCGAUGAGGGAUGAACCUAUUGUCGAGCUAUUGUGUUUCACACCAUGAGCAUCAGAUGCCAGAAAGGGUGUUGGUUCAUCUUAACAGCAGGACAGUGGUCAUGGAAGUCGAAAUCUGCUAAGGAGUGUGUAACAACUCACCUGCCGAAUGAAGCAGCCCCGAAAAUGGAUGACGCUUUUUCAUGAGAAGUAUGCUGGACCAUAUCGCGAAGUAUAACGU